This 287-nucleotide ribosomal RNA is filed under the name uncultured bacterium. RNAcentral describes it as "partial 16S ribosomal RNA". It matches the Rfam family "Bacterial small subunit ribosomal RNA", at positions 333 to 635 of the family's 1533-position model. The record is from RNAcentral.
UGUGCCUACGGGGCGCAGCAGUGGGGAAUAUUGGGCAAUGGGCGCAAGCCUGACCCAGCAACGCCGCGUGAAGGAAGAAGGCUUUCGGGUUGUAAACUUCUUUUCUCAGGGACGAAGCAAGUGACGGUACCUGAGGAAUAAGCCACGGCUAACUACGUGCCAGCAGCCGCGGUAAUACGUAGGUGGCAAGCGUUAUCCGGAUUUACUGGGUGUAAAGGGCGUGUAGGCGGGGACGCAAGUCAGAUGUGAAAACCACGGGCUGAACCUGUGGCCUGCAUUUGAAACUG